This 64-nucleotide transfer RNA is filed under the name Paragavialidium sichuanense. RNAcentral describes it as "tRNA-Asn". Lineage: Eukaryota; Metazoa; Arthropoda; Insecta; Orthoptera; Tetrigidae. The record is from RNAcentral.
UUAGAUGAAGCCAAAAAGAGGCAUAUUAUUGUUAAUAAUAUAAUUGGAGUUUAUCCCAACUAAA